This 246-nucleotide ribosomal RNA is filed under the name uncultured Lactobacillus sp. Its description in RNAcentral is "partial 16S ribosomal RNA". It matches the Rfam family "Bacterial small subunit ribosomal RNA", at positions 116 to 354 of the family's 1533-position model. The record is from RNAcentral. Lineage: Bacteria; Bacillati; Bacillota; Bacilli; Lactobacillales; Lactobacillaceae.
CGUGGGUAACCUGCCCAAGAGAUCGGGAUAACACCUGGAAACAGAUGCUAAUACCGGAUAACAACAGAUGAUGCCUAUCAACUGUUUAAAAGAUGGUUCUGCUAUCACUCUUGGAUGGACCUGCGGUGUAUUAGCUAGUUGGUAGGGUAACGGCCUACCAAGGCGAUGAUGCAUAGCCGAGUUGAGAGACUGAUCGGCCACAUUGGGACUGAGACACGGCCCAAACUCCUACGGGAGGCAGCAGGU